GUACACUCCUACGGGAGGCAGCAGUGGGGAAUAUUGGACAAUGGGCGCAAGCCUGAUCCAGCCAUGCCGCGUGAGUGAUGAAGGCCCUAGGGUUGUAAAGCUCUUUCACCGGUGAAGAUAAUGACGGUAACCGGAGAAGAAGCCCCGGCUAACUUCGUGCCAGCAGCCGCGGUAAUACGAAGGGGGCUAGCGUUGUUCGGAUUUACUGGGCGUAAAGCGCACGUAGGCGGACUAUUAAGUCAGGGGUGAAAUCCCGGGGCUCAACCCCGGAACUGCCUUUGAUACUGGUAGUCUUGAGUUCGAGAGAGGUGAGUGGAAUUCCGAGUGUAGAGGUGAAAUUCGUAGAUAUUCGGAGGAACACCAGUGGCGAAGGCGGCUCACUGGCUCGAUACUGACGCUGAGGUGCGAAAGCGUGGGGAGCAAACAGGAUUAGAUACCCCUGUAGUCCC
This 449-nucleotide ribosomal RNA is filed under the name uncultured organism. RNAcentral's name for it is "partial 16S ribosomal RNA". It matches the Rfam family "Bacterial small subunit ribosomal RNA", at positions 331 to 797 of the family's 1533-position model. The record is from RNAcentral.